AGGGCACCACCAGGAGUGGAGCCUGCGGCUUAAUUUGACUCAACACGGGRAAACUCACCCGGCCCGGACACUGGAAGGAUUGACAGAUUGAGAGCUCUUUCUUGAUUCAGUGGGUGGUGGUGCAUGGCCGUUCUUAGUUGGUGGAGUGAUUUGUCUGGUUAAUUCCGAUAACGAACGAGACUCUAGCCUACUAAAUAGAUCKYCGGCUUMYAAACGCCGGCGAGRCUUYUUAKAGGGRSAGGSGGKGAUUCAACCSCACGAAACAGAGCAAUAACAGGUCUGUGAUGCCCUUAGAUGUCCGGGGCCGCACGCGCGCUACACUGAAGUGAUCAGCGUGCUUUUUCAACCUACUCUGUCAAGAGUGGGGAACCCAAUGAACCUUCUUCGUGAUUGGGAUAGGGGAUUGUAAUUGUUCCCCUUGAACGAGGAAUUCCCAGUAAGCGCGAGUCAUAAGCUCGCGUUGAUUACGUCCCUGCCCUUUGUACACACCGCCCGUCGCUACUACCSAUUGAAUGUUUU
RNAcentral lists this ribosomal RNA (519 nucleotides) under uncultured eukaryote. Its description in RNAcentral is "partial 18S ribosomal RNA". It matches the Rfam family "Eukaryotic small subunit ribosomal RNA", at positions 1172 to 1719 of the family's 1831-position model. The record is from RNAcentral.